RNAcentral lists this long non-coding RNA (287 nucleotides) under Erythranthe guttata (spotted monkey flower). Its description in RNAcentral is "long non-coding RNA (EGUT_LNC002178)". Lineage: Eukaryota; Viridiplantae; Streptophyta; Magnoliopsida; Lamiales; Phrymaceae. The record is from RNAcentral.
CUUCCAAUUAAAAGUGUUUAAAUUUACUUUGAUUUAAAACAGUCUACCAAAAAAAAAUUAAUAUUUCAUUAAAAUAAAGACUUAUCUUAAUAAAGAUCUGGGUAAAUAAUUUUAUAGUCCCGUGCAAUGCACUGAGUCAUGGUUACUAAUUUUAAUAAAAAUCAAAUAUUUAAAGAAACAACUGCUUGAAUGAAAUAUUAAUUCAAAAUGAAAAUAAUAGAAAUAAAAUAUAAUUGCCAAAAACCUUAAAAGUAACAAUAAAUUAGUAAUAAAAAAAAAAAGAAAAA